Molecule: ribosomal RNA, 253 nt
Filed under: uncultured bacterium
Lineage: Bacteria
Description: partial 16S ribosomal RNA
Rfam family: Bacterial small subunit ribosomal RNA
Source: RNAcentral
UACGAAGGGGGCUAGCGUUGCUCGGAAUGACUGGGCGUAAAGGGCGCGUAGGCGGUUUGGACAGUCAGAUGUGAAAUUCCUGGGCUCAACCUGGGGGCUGCAUUUGAUACGUUCGGACUAGAGUGGGGAAGAGGGUCGUGGAAUUCCGGGUGUAGCGGUGAAAUGCGUAGAUAUCCGGAGGAACACCGGUGGCGAAGGCGGCUUCCUGGACCGACACUGACGCUGAGGCGCGAAAGCUAGGGGAGCAAACGGG